Molecule: ribosomal RNA, 418 nt
Filed under: uncultured bacterium
Lineage: Bacteria
Description: bacterial SSU rRNA
Rfam family: Bacterial small subunit ribosomal RNA
Source: RNAcentral
GUAGGGAAUAUUGCGCAAUGGGCGAAAGCCUGACGCAGCAACGCCGUGUGUAGGAUGAAGCAUCUAGGUGCGUAAACUACUGUCAGCAGGGAAUAAAUUGACUGUACCUGCAGAGGAAGCACCGGCUAACUACGUGCCAGCAGCCGCGGUAAGACGUAGGGUGCAAGCGUUGUUCGGAAUUACUGGGCGUAAAGCGCGUGCAGGUGGUUUUCAAGUUUCGUGUGAAAGCCCACGGCUCAACCGUGGAACGGCACGGAAAACUGGAAGACUUGAAUACUGGAGAAGAGGGCGGAAUUCCCAGUGUAGAGGUGAAAUUCGUAGAUAUUGGGAGGAACACCGGUGGCGAAAGCGGCUCUCUAGACCGAUAUUGACGCUCAUACGCGAGAGCGUGGGUAGCAAACAGGAUUAGAUACCCCAG